UUCGCAAUGCCCGAAAGGGUGACGGAGCGACGCCGCGUGCGGGACUAAGGCCCUCGGGUCGUAAACCGCUGUCAGGGAGCACGAAAGGUGCGGACGCUAAUAUCGAUCGCACUCUGACGUUAUGCCCAAAGGAAGCCACGGCUAACUCCGUGCCAGCAGCCGCGGUAAGACGAAGGUGGCGAGUGUUGUUCGGAAUCACUGGGCUUAAAGCGCGCGUAGGCGGUUCGGUCAAUCGAAGGUGAAAUCCUACCGCUCAACGGUAGAACGGCCUUCGAUAUUGCCGUCCUUGAGGAGGCGAGGGGAGAGUGGAACUCUAGGUAGAGCGGUGAAAUGCGUAGAUAUCAGAGGGAACGCCGGCGGCGAAAGCGAUUCUCUGGCCUAUUACUGACACUCAGUGUGCGAAAGCUAGGGGAGCGAACGGGAUUAGAUACCCCGGUAGUCCUAGCCGUAAACGAUGGGCACUAAGUAGAGGGGUUUUA
This 479-nucleotide ribosomal RNA is filed under the name uncultured anaerobic ammonium-oxidizing bacterium. RNAcentral describes it as "bacterial SSU rRNA". It matches the Rfam family "Bacterial small subunit ribosomal RNA", at positions 365 to 833 of the family's 1533-position model. The record is from RNAcentral.